This 1015-nucleotide ribosomal RNA is filed under the name uncultured Prochlorococcus sp. Its description in RNAcentral is "SSU rRNA". It matches the Rfam family "Bacterial small subunit ribosomal RNA", at positions 50 to 1113 of the family's 1533-position model. The record is from RNAcentral. Lineage: Bacteria; Bacillati; Cyanobacteriota; Cyanophyceae; Synechococcales; Prochlorococcaceae.
AACACAUGCAAGUCGAACGAACNUUCGGGUUAGUGGCGGACGGGUGAGUAACGCGUGAGAAUCUGCCCUCAGGAGGGGGAUAACGGUUGGAAACGACCGCUAAUACCCCAUAUGCCUACUGGUGAAAUGAAUUUCGCCUGAGGAUGAGCUCGCGUCUGAUUAGCUAGUUGGUGAGGUAAUAGCUCACCAAGGCUUCGAUCAGUAGCUGGUCUGAGAGGAUGAUCAGCCACACUGGGACUGAGACACGGCCCAGACUCCUACGGGAGGCAGCAGUGGGGAAUUUUCCGCAAUGGGCGAAAGCCUGACGGAGCAACGCCGCGUGAGGGACGAAGGCCUCUGGGCUGUAAACCUCUUUUCUCAAGGAAGAAGAUAUGACGGUACUUGAGGAAUAAGCCACGGCUAAUUCCGUGCCAGCAGCCGCGGUAAUACGGGAGUGGCAAGCGUUAUCCGGAAUUAUUGGGCGUAAAGCGUCCGCAGGCGGCUUUUCAAGUCUGCUGUUAAAGCGUGGAGCUUAACUCCAUCAUGGCAGUGGAAACUGAAAGGCUUGAGUAUGGUAGGGGCAGAGGGAAUUCCCGGUGUAGCGGUGAAAUGCGUAGAUAUCGGGAAGAACACCAGUGGCGAAGGCGCUCUGCUGGGCCAUUACUGACGCUCAUGGACGAAAGCCAGGGGAGCGAAAGGGAUUAGAUACCCCUGUAGUCCUGGCCGUAAACGAUGAACACUAGGUGUCGGGGGAAUCGACCCCUUCNGUGUCGUANCUAACGCGUUAAGUGUUCCGCCUGGGGAGUACGCACGCAAGUGUGAAACUCAAAGGAAUUGACGGGGGCCCGCACAAGCGGUGGAGUAUGUGGUUUAAUUCGAUGCAACGCGAANAACCUUACCNGGNUUGACAUCCUGCGAACNUCUUANAAAUUUGAGGGUGCCUUCGGGAAUGCAGUGACAGNGGUGCAUGGCUGUCGUCAGCUCGUGUCGNGAGAUGUUGGGUUAAGUCCCGCAACGAGCGCAACCCACGUUUUUA